CCUACGGGAGGCAGCAGUGGGGAAUUUUGGACAAUGGGGGCAACCCUGAUCCAGCAAUGCCGCGUGAGUGAAGAAGGCCUUCGGGUUGUAAAGCUCUUUUGUCAGGGAAGAAACGGUGGGGGUUAAUACCUUCUGCUAAUGACGGUACCUGAAGAAUAAGCACCGGCUAACUACGUGCCAGCAGCCGCGGUAAUACGUAGGGUGCAAGCGUUAAUCGGAAUUACUGGGCGUAAAGCGUGCGCAGGCGGUUGUGCAAGACCGAUGUGAAAUCCCCGGGCUUAACCUGGGAAUGGCAUUGGUGACUGCACGGCUAGAGUGUGUCAGAGGGGGGUAGAAUUCCACGUGUAGCAGUGAAAUGCGUAGAGAUGUGGAGGAAUACCGAUGGCGAAGGCAGCCCCCUGGGAUAACACUGACGCUCAUGCACGAAAGCGUGGGGAGCAAACAGGAUUAGAUACCCUGGUAGUCCACGCCUUAAACGAUGUCUACUAGUUGUCGGGUCUUCAUUGACUUGGUAACGCAGCUAACGCGUGAAGUAGACCGCCUGGGGAGUACGGUCGCAAGAUUAAAACUCAAAUGAAUUGACGGNNGNGAGNGCGAGAGACGACGAGGGAGGAGG
This 616-nucleotide ribosomal RNA is filed under the name uncultured bacterium. RNAcentral's name for it is "bacterial SSU rRNA". It matches the Rfam family "Bacterial small subunit ribosomal RNA", at positions 338 to 947 of the family's 1533-position model. The record is from RNAcentral.